AUUGAACGCUGGCGGCAUGCCUUACACAUGCAAGUCGAACGGCAGCAUAGGAGCUUGCUCCUGAUGGCGAGUGGCGAACGGGUGAGUAAUAUAUCGGAACGUGCCCUAGAGUGGGGGAUAACUAGUCGAAAGACUAGCUAAUACCGCAUACGAUCUACGGAUGAAAGUGGGGGAUCGCAAGACCUGAUGCUCCUGGAGCGGCCGAUAUCUGAUUAGCUAGUUGGUGGGGUAAAAGCCUACCAAGGCAACGAUCAGUAGCUGGUCUGAGAGGACGACCAGCCACACUGGGACUGAGACACGGCCCAGACUCCUACGGGAGGCAGCAGUGGGGAAUUUUGGACAGUGGGGGCAACCCUGAUCCAGCAAUGCCGCGUGAGUGAAGAAGGCCUUCGGGUUGUAAAGCUCUUUUGUCAGGGAAGAAACGGUAGUAGCGAAUAACUACUACUAAUGACGGUACCUGAAGAAUAAGCACCGGCUAACUACGUGCCAGCCGCCGCCGUAA
Molecule: ribosomal RNA, 502 nt
Filed under: uncultured bacterium
Lineage: Bacteria
Description: partial 16S ribosomal RNA
Rfam family: Bacterial small subunit ribosomal RNA
Source: RNAcentral